GAUGAACGCUGGCGGCGUGCCUAAUACAUGCAAGUCGAGCGAACAGACGAGGAGCUUGCUCCUCUGACGUUAGCGGCGGACGGGUGAGUAACACGUGGAUAACCUACCUAUAAGACUGGGAUAACUUCGGGAAACCGGAGCUAAUACCGGAUAAUAUAUUGAACCGCAUGGUUCAAUAGUGAAAGACGGUUUUGCUGUCACUUAUAGAUGGAUCCGCGCCGCAUUAGCUAGUUGGUAAGGUAACGGCUUACCAAGGCAACGAUGCGUAGCCGACCUGAGAGGGGGAUCGGCCACACUGGAACUGAGCCACGGGCCAGCCUCCUACGGGAGGCAGCAGUGGGGAAUCUUUCGCAAUGGGCGAAAGCUUGACGAAGCAACGCCGCGUGAGUGAUGAAGGUCUUCGGAUCGUAAAACUCUGUUAUUAGGGAAGAACAAAUGUGUAAGUAACUAUGCACGUCUUGACGGUACCUAAUCAGAAGGCCACGGCUAAUUACGU
Molecule: ribosomal RNA, 496 nt
Filed under: uncultured bacterium
Lineage: Bacteria
Description: partial 16S ribosomal RNA
Rfam family: Bacterial small subunit ribosomal RNA
Source: RNAcentral